RNAcentral lists this ribosomal RNA (438 nucleotides) under Fusigonalia decurvata. RNAcentral's name for it is "partial large subunit ribosomal RNA". The stretch from base 1 to 103 matches the Rfam family "Archaeal large subunit ribosomal RNA", at positions 1949 to 2086 of the family's 2987-position model. Lineage: Eukaryota; Metazoa; Arthropoda; Insecta; Hemiptera; Cicadellidae. The record is from RNAcentral.
UCCUGCCCAAUGAUUAUUUAAAUGGCUGCAGUAUUUUGACUGUACAAAGGUAGCAUAAUAAUUAGUCUUUUAAUUGAGGACUUGAAUGAAUGGAUUAAUGAGAAAUUAUUUUUAUUAAUUUUAUAUUUAAAAUUUAAUUUUUAAGUAAAAAAGCUUAGUUUUUUUUCCGGGACGAUAAGACCCUAUAGAACUUUAUUUUUUUAAUUAAUUUUUAUAUUUUAGUUUAUUUAUUUAUAUUUUUUAUUAUAAUAAUUUUGUUGGGGUGAUAAAUAAAUAUUAACUUUAUUUUAUUAAAUCAUUAAUUUAUGUUUUAUUGAUCCAAUAUUUGAUUAUAAGAUCAAGUUACCUUAGGGAUAACAGCGUAAUUUUAAUGGUGAGUUCAUAUCUAUAUUAUAGUUUGCGACCUCGAUGUUGAAUUAAGAUAAGGUAAAGGGGUAG